Molecule: ribosomal RNA, 468 nt
Filed under: uncultured bacterium
Lineage: Bacteria
Description: partial 16S ribosomal RNA
Rfam family: Bacterial small subunit ribosomal RNA
Source: RNAcentral
GACGAACGCUGGCGGCGUGCUUAACACAUGCAAGUCGAACGGAAAGGCCCUGCUUUUGUGGGGUGCUCGAGUGGCGAACGGGUGAGUAACACGUGAGUAACCUGCCCUUGACUUUGGGAUAACUUCAGGAAACUGGGGCUAAUACCGGAUAGGAGCUCCUGCUGCAUGGUGGGGGUUGGAAAGUUUCGGCGGUUGGGGAUGGACUCGCGGCUUAUCAGCUUGUUGGUGGGGUAGUGGCUUACCAAGGCUUUGACGGGUGGCCGGCCUGGGAGGGUGACCGGCCACAUUGGGACUGAGAUACGGCCCAGACUCCUACGGGAGGCAGCAGUGGGGAAUAUUGCACAAUGGGCGGAAGCCUGAUGCAGCAACGCCGCGUGCGGGAUGACGGCCUUCGGGUUGUAAACCGCUUUCGCCUGUGACGAAGCGUGAGUGACGGUAAUGGGUAAAGAAGCACCGGCUAACUACGUG